AGUAUAAUUGCCAGGUCAAAUAGUAACUCUGUUUCACUCUUUUGAGAUACUGCCAUAUUGUUUUCCAGAGUGGCUGUACCAUUUACAUUAUUAUUAGCUGU
Molecule: microRNA precursor, 101 nt
Filed under: Marmota monax (woodchuck)
Lineage: Eukaryota; Metazoa; Chordata; Mammalia; Rodentia; Sciuridae
Source: RNAcentral